RNAcentral lists this ribosomal RNA (433 nucleotides) under uncultured bacterium. RNAcentral's name for it is "partial 16S ribosomal RNA". It matches the Rfam family "Bacterial small subunit ribosomal RNA", at positions 29 to 507 of the family's 1533-position model. The record is from RNAcentral.
AGCGAACGCUGGCGGCAGGCUUAACACAUGCGAGUCGAGCGGGCACUUCGGUGUCAGCGGCAGACGGGUGAGUAACACGUGGGAACGUACCCUUUGGUUCGGAAUAACGCUGGGAAACUAGCGCUAAUACCGGAUACGCCCUUCUGGGGAAAGGCUUGCUGCCGAAGGAUCGGCCCGCGUCUGAUUAGCUAGUUGGUGGGGUAAUGGCCUACCAAGGCGACGAUCAGUAGCUGGUCUGAGAGGAUGAUCAGCCACACUGGGACUGAGACACGGCCCAGACUCCUACGGGAGGCAGCAGUGGGGAAUAUUGGACAAUGGGCGCAAGCCUGAUCCAGCCAUGCCGCGUGAGUGAUGAAGGCCUUAGGGUUGUAAAGCUCUUUUGUCCGGGACGAUAAUGACGGUACCGGAAGAAUAAGCCCCGGCUAACUUCGUG